Molecule: ribosomal RNA, 79 nt
Filed under: Pythium sp. F1630
Lineage: Eukaryota; Oomycota; Peronosporomycetes; Pythiales; Pythiaceae
Description: partial 18S ribosomal RNA
Source: RNAcentral
GGGUUUUCCUGGCGACAAUAUCGGCUGGUACUCGCGAUGCAUCUAGAUUUCCGUAGGUGAACCUGCGGAAGGAUCAUUA